UACGGGGGGGGCAAGCGUUGUUCGGAAUUACUGGGCGUAAAGGGCUCGUAGGUGGCCAACUAAGUCAGACGUGAAAUCCCUCAGCUUAACUGGGGAACUGCGUCUGAUACUGGAUGGCUUGAGUUUGGGAGAGGGAUGCGGAAUUCCAGGUGUAGCGGUGAAAUGCGCAGAUAUCAGGAGGAACACCAGUGGCGAAGGCGGCUCUCUGGGCCUUUCCUGACGCUGAGACGCGAAAGCGUGGGGAGCGAACCGG
Molecule: ribosomal RNA, 253 nt
Filed under: uncultured bacterium
Lineage: Bacteria
Description: partial 16S ribosomal RNA
Rfam family: Bacterial small subunit ribosomal RNA
Source: RNAcentral